Molecule: long non-coding RNA, 622 nt
Organism: Apis dorsata (giant honeybee)
Lineage: Eukaryota; Metazoa; Arthropoda; Insecta; Hymenoptera; Apidae
Exons: 2
Source: RefSeq, a predicted model, not a curated record
UAAUAUAUUUAUAUAUUAUAUACAAACGAAUUAUCUAGUUUGUAUAGAUAUUCUAUUGCUGCGAUCAACUAUUAUAUAUAUAUAUUAAAUGUAUGUAUUUUUCAUAUUCGUAGCUAUUAUUGAACAGAAAAAUCGGACACUUAUUAUUAUUACCGAUCGCUUUUUUUUUUUUUUUUUUUUUUUUUUUUUUUUAAUACUAAUUACUAAUAAAGUGUCUCCCUGUGUCUUUAUACACUUCGGGAAAAAAUAACGUGUGGUCUCAUUUUGUACUUUAAUAAGUGGUAGAUAGUAGAAUCAUUGGUGUUUCAUUUUAAGAACUCUAGAAAUGACCGUUCGGUUGCUCGAGCUUCCCGAGACGAGAGGAAGCUUUAAUGCACCGGUUGCAUGCUGGUCCAGAACAUCUUUGUAUUAUCAAUCCCUUGCAAUUUUUUCUUCGACAUCUACAAUAUAUUUUUUUAAAUAUCUGCAUAUCUUCAAUUAAUUUAAUGAGUACAUUAACGUGAAGUGGACGGCAUUGGAUUAAACUGAUUCGACAUGUUGCAGCAAUAACACGGAGCCAAAAUAUUUGUGUUUCUAAAUUGAAAACAUACAGUUUGAAAUUAUAAAAAUAUAUGAUUUUUUA